This 238-nucleotide long non-coding RNA is filed under the name Ananas comosus (pineapple). Its description in RNAcentral is "long non-coding RNA (ACOM_LNC005205)". Lineage: Eukaryota; Viridiplantae; Streptophyta; Magnoliopsida; Poales; Bromeliaceae. The record is from RNAcentral.
UUUUUCUAACACUAAUUGUUGAAAUCGAUAUUAAUUUAUACCGAUAUCAAUUAUAUAAUUCAAGAUCUAAAAUAGAAUAAAAUAAUAUAAAAAAAUAUUAGAGUAAGAAAAAAAACUAAACUAAUACUUUAUUAAUAAAAGACAAUUAAUUAUAUUCUAGGCAACACCCGUGUAACCAUAUCGACUAUAACUCAUUUCUCUUAUUAACACACACACACACACACACAUAUAUAUCUAU